GGGUGGUGACACUUGCAACUUAAGCAUGCCUUCAAUUGUGACAUUCACGUGCGUGGCGCGUCAUGCCCUUUCCUGCACAUCAGGAGCCCGUGGCUGGGCGGUUUCCAUCUGCGCCUCCCGCGGUCCGUCCCCGCUGCGGCCUGAGGAGAGGGGACCUUCAGGGUGUGGACUCUCUGGAAGGGACGUGGGGGCCUGUUGGUAACUUCCUCUCACGUUGACGACGCGCUUCCUUGAACUCAGAGGAAAGGGGCGUUUCCCCAGCACUGAACUUUAAAGACAAUUCACUUACAAAGUCCACAUUUCACGCAACGGGCCUUCCCGAGGGCCGCAGAGGGACUUCGUGUCCUUUCCGGCAGCCUGGAGUUUGUAGAGCAGUUCGACAGAAGACCUGAGCAGUCAGAGCACGGCCCCCGCGUGACCCACACGGUCUCCCCGUCACCGGAACCUUCUGUCCGUGCGGUCCCGCUGCCUCCAUGAGCGAACCACCCCUGAUUCGUUAGUGCUGACUGGAAGCCAUACCUUACCCAGGUCCCCUAGUUCCCCUGCCUUCCUGUGUCCCCGGAUCCCACGUCCCCCUCGUCACCCUCAGUCGGCCUGCCUCCCCGGGCCCCUCUGCACUGACGGUCACCCGGGGCCACGAGAUGUUCUAGCCCGCCACCACUGGCAAUAAGCAAACCCCCCUCCGUCAUACCUGACUUCAUGUUAAUGAGGUGGCCCCGGAGUCACUAGAAAGCCCCAGGAUGGGGGCUGGAGGCCUGAGGAACCAAGUGCGACCUCCAGCCCCUGACCCCGGGGAGGCGACAGUGUGGGGAUUGUGGGGAUGGAGUCAGUCCCCGAUGGCCAGUGACUCAAUCUAUCGAUCGUGCCCACGUGAUGGGGCCUCCACCCUAAGUAACGGGUUCAGAGAGUUUCCUGGUUGGUGGCCGCGUCCACGUGCCGAGAGCAUGGCAUGCCCCAAACUCCACAGGGCAGAGCUGGCUCUCUCGGGGCCUCCCGCGUCUUGCCCUCGGUGCCUAGUUAUCUGGCGGUUUGCUCGUGCCCUUCAUGAUAGCCCUUCGAGUAAACCAGUAACCACGGGAACUUGCUUCCCCGGAUCCUGUGAACUGUUCUAGCAAAUGACGGAACCCCAGCACGCGGUCGCGGGAAUCCCUGAUUUGUAUCUGGUCGGUCAGGAGUACAGGGUGGCCCGCACUUGUGCCUGGGGUGUGGAGCGGGGACGAUCACGUGGGACCCGACCCUUGACCCUGUCCAGGUUAUUAGCGUCAAGACUAAAUCGUAGGACACCCUUGGGUGGCUGCAGAGCGUUGUGGGAUUGCUUGGUGUGGAAAACCCCACACGUUUGGUGCCGGAAUUGCCCUGCGUAUGUAAAAACAUCCCGGCAGUGGGAGGUGUUGGUCUCAGACUCCCCUUGAUCCGAUGACCUGGACAAUCUUGAGGAAUACUGGUCAGGUAUUUCCAAAUUCUGCUGGAAGUUGAUGUCUUGCUCAUGAUGCUGGUGCUGUGGGUCUGGGAAGUUGUCGCAGAGAUGGUCACAUCACUUCGAGGGAGCACACGGUCGACAUGACGUGUCACUGCGGGCCUCGGUCACCAGGCUGGGGUGUGUCUGUCGGGGUUCUCCCCUGGAAAGUGACUCUUUCCGCCCCAUCCACACUGUCCCUGGAAGGAAGUCACUCUGUGCGGCCCACACCUAAGGGAUGGGCCGUCCCUUGAUUGAGGAACCUCUUUGAUGCGGAGCAUCUGCAUAAAUUACGUGGAAUUCUUCUGCGUGGAGAUUUCUCUCUCCUCCCCCAUUUGCUUACUCAGUCAUUUGAAUCUGUUUAGACCCGAGGAUAUUUAUGUUAGUGUUUGGAUCAUAAUCUGUUACUAUUUGUUUUGCUAGGAUUGUUCCAGAUUUGGCCCCCGGGCCCUGUAUCACAUAGCAUGCCCCCUUCGGCAAAGAGCUCCUUGGUUGAAGCCCCUCCUCACCCUUCCUUACUAUAGGCUCGUCCUGUGCAUUUCCCGCCCCAGCCCCGGGGUCCGCCAUUUCUCCAAGGAGCACUCGUUCCAUUGGCUGGAGAAGAGUGCUUAGAAGCCAAGAGCCAGACCCUGGGUGUGCUCACUGCUGCUGGGGUGGCAUCGCUUCUCGGCCUCUCUGCCGACAGAGACGUGCGUGUGUGCUAAUCCACAUAUGGAUAUGUCUCUGUAAAUAAUUCCAUAGUGAUCAUUUGUAUCUAAAGCAUGCUAAACACGAGGCCAUGCUGACGUUUCCACCUGCGACCUACACCCCCCGGGUCAUCCUGACUCUGCUUCUGUGUAAAUUCUCCCUGCGAUGUGAGAACUCUGACUCCCAUUUGCCCCCGGACAAGACAGACUGAUCCGGUCUGUCUACACAUACUGCGACAUGGGACUGUGCCCCUGGACUCCCGGGGACAGCAGCUUUACCACCCAGAGUACUUGGGGACAAUUUCUCCUGCUGUGAGUGUUGCAGAUCCCACCCAUUUCCCAAGUUACUUAGGCCAGCGCCUUCCCGCCCGCUCUCCUCCGCUGGGGCCAUCCCACAUGUGUGCGUCACAGUUAAAUCCUCUCGUCACAGAGUGUAGCCCUUCCUGGGAGCCCUUCAGCCUUAAACCUAAACUGUUGGCUUUUAACUAGCGUGCAUGAAGGGUCGCUCUGAGCUGUGAAGUUCUAUGGGUUUUGACCAGUGCACGAUGUCCUAUGCCCAUGGCUACAGGAUCGCCCAGAUCCUGCCUGUACUCCAAAUAUUAGUCCCCCCCUUCCCCCAAGCACCUCGCAUCCACUGACCCACUUAGUGAGCAUAGUUUUUCCUUUUCCAGAAUGUCAUACGGUUGGAAUCAGACAGUGUGCAACCCUUCGGACUGCCUUCUUUCACUUGUUGAUACGCAUGUAAGGCUUCUCGUAUUUUCAUGACUCGACAGCUCAUUCCUCUUCGUGGCUGAAUGAUAUUCCACGUUCUGUAACACGAGAUGGGCCUGCGUCCUUCCUGCCAUCUGCACGUCUUCUUUGUUUCAUCCAGAUCAAGGGAGUAUACUGGUGUCCCAGUGGUUCCACCUUGAAUCAGAGCCAUCCUCAGGAUUGGGGACCACAGCCAGGAGCAUGGAGAUGCAUGUCAAUGAGGUGCUAGGACUCGUCUGUGUCCCAGCUAAGCCUGUAGGGGCCUCAGAGGAAGCUGUUCUGAGUUAGUAGGAUCCCUGGCAAAUGAUGUGGAGGUGGAAGGCUGGGAGGGCAGCCCCACCUGACGGGAAGUGACCAGAGCUUGGAGUAGUGGCUCUCAAACUUGCCUACAUAUUGGAACUCAAGAAAAAUACUGAUGUCCAGGCUCUGUGUCAGAGACCCUCACUUAAUUGGUUUGGGGUGCCACCUAUGUUCAGAUACCUUGGAUAAAGGUCCAAGCACAGGCACUGACUACAUCUUGGGACAUUUCACCUAUAUAUGGGCCCAAAUAAUGGAAAGCAUGGAAGGAAGGAAUGUGUUGGGGCUCCUUGGGUGGUCACACCUUAGGAAGCCAAAGGGCUUCAUUCGACAUAGGACAAUGCUGCCUUCUUCACCUGUGAAGUCAUCUACUGUCAUCAGGAGAGCCUGGCAGAGCUGGUGUAGACCAUUCCAACCCUGUGAGGUCAUCGAUAGAAGUUGUAACAUGCUAAAGAGAACAAAACAAGCCUGAUGGCUCCCACUCAGCCUUAGGAACAUUUAUUCCCUUAAACUUCUCAGUGGAAAUUAAAGAAAGCCUCUGCCUGAGGGCCCUGGAUGAGAAAGGAGUCCUCGGAUGUCAUUGCUGUCAGUCUGCUUGGGUGUAAAAGAAACAUCGCCUGCAGGAAGGGGAAGCUAUGGCUGGGUUGUUUGCACAGGGCUCGACGACAGAGGCACCUGGUUUUGCCUUUUCCUGCCUGGAGUCUGUGGUCUGGCUUCCAUCCCAGAUAAAUGUCGGAGAGAACCCAGAACAAGCUCUAGAGUGUCUGAAUGCAGCCAAACAAACAGAAAUGCUACUAUGAGAUUAAGAGAAAUGAACAGAAUGUACAGGCUCGCCUGACUGAAAAGUCCAGCGGUAGUGACUUCAGACACAGCUCAGUCAAGGUACUCUGAUCUGCCAUCAAUUGGCCUCCACCUUUGCCUUCUACUCUCCUCUGCAUUGGCCACCUCCUCCCCCCAGGGUUUCUAUUCAUGGUAGCAAAUGGUUUCUGCCAUUGUCAGACUCAAGUCUUCCCAGCUUGGCAGCCCCGAGGGGAAGGGAAUGUAUAUGCUUCUCACCUUUCAAUGUCCAUUUCCCCUUCUCCCAUUGGAAUACAAUUUUGAGCAAAACCCAUAAACCUAAUUACCUAUUGACUGUCUACCUAGGCCUGCUGGAAUCUUCUGUGAGCUCCUCCAGACCUAUUUGUUAUAGCUCUCCACCCUGCUGUCUGCUCUACAUGAGCAACAGCCACAGAUUCGCCUUGCCCUCUGUAUUCUAGAAAGGUCUGGUCAGUGAGAGGCUCCGGCAGGAAACUGUGGUCACAUUAUUUAUUCCUCCAGCUCCCACAUGUCGGCACUGCCUCAAGCUGGCUGUGUUACUUGUCCAGAGUUCACACUUCCUGUCACAACAGCCCUCUCCACCUGUCUUUCCCUGUCUUGCCUCCUCCCCUCACCCUUCAGACAGGAGGGGUCAUGGUCCUUGGUUGUUACUAGUUCGGGGUACAGCACUAUCACUUGAGGGCUCCUAUAUCCCACCCACCGUUAGAAUGUGCUCUCUGAAUCCCCUCCCCCCGAAUGCUGAUAGUUGCACUGGGUGCACAAGGAAAGGCUCUGGCCGGUCACACGUGCACAGAAACAAAGUGGGAAGCCUCCCAGGCCACAGCCUGCAAGGAAGAGGUGUGCAUCCCACCACUCGUCUUGUUUGGAAAGUGGUUUCAACGAAAAGCCAUCUUGGACCCGCGGAUGAGAACAACACCCUAGGAAUGGUGGCAAGACCCAGGACUCUUGCAUGCUCCGGAUGGCAGAGCCACCAAACCAAGUCAGAUGAAGCUAUUAUUGGGGUAUUUCAGCCAUGGUGAUUCCGGGCCUCUGUCCCUGCAGCUGAACCCAUGUUCCGACCACACAGCAACCCUCUCUUUCUCAAUAGCUUCUGUCAAUGUUCCAGAAUUGUCUCUCUGGCCUCGAGCCACAUCUCCAAUCGCAAUCCAAUCGUUAUGGCCAAGGAAACGGAAUAUCCUUACUGGCCAAGCCUGGGUCCAUCCCUGGAGCUGGAGCUCUGUUACAAGUACAAGGGGGGAUUGGUGCUGGGCAAACCAAGGCAACUGUCCCUUGUAGUUGUGACCACAGCCACAUUGAGCACCUCCUACGUGCCAGGCACCUGAUACCCAUGGUCUCAUCAUUGUGCUAUUUUAUUCUUAACUCUUGUCAUUCCACGGGCCAACUGGGCUUCCUUGAGCUGUUCUUGCCUGCGUCUCCCGUCAGUUGCAGUAGAGGGUGAGGUUCAUCUGGGCUGGCCAUCCAAAAUGGCGACAGUCAAACCGGAAGCACAGCUGCGGCCUCAGACCAGUGUCCGCACACAGCCCCUUGACGUGGUUUGGGCUUCUCACAGAAAGGUGGUCCCAGUGUAGUGGUCCCACAUUUCUUACAUGGCAGUGGUUUCCAAGGAGUGGGAAGAGGAAGCCAUCCGGUCCGUUGAGGGCUAUGCCCAGAACUGCCAUGGCAUCACUUCUAACACAUGCUUUCUGACAAAGAAGCCUCAGGGCCUCCCAGUUUGAAAGCUGUUUAGAAAUACGUUCCGCCCCAAAGUCGUAGUGGCAAGUCUACACCGCAAAAGGGAAUUGUGGGAAGGGAGAUAUCGUGGCAGCUGUCUUUGGGAAAUAUGGCCUGGUGCAGUCUGCCCUCUGGCCACAAGUCUCAUCCCUCCCCCACACAAGAUAUGCUCCCCCCCUCAACCAAGACCCCAAAGUCUCAUCCCAUUACAGCAUCAGCUCAAGGUCCGGGGUCCUACUCAGUUGGGUCUGUGUGUGCAUGAGACCCCUCAAGGACAACACCUCAAAUACGGUUCUUCUUUAUGAAGACCUGUAUGAUACAAGUGAUCUGCCCCCUCACACCCAACAUGAAACGAGGGCAUGGGAUAACUGUCGCUUCACUCCUAACCAAAACGGGGCCUCACAACCCUGAAAUCCAGCCAGGUGCAUUGUACUUUGAUUCGGACAAGUUCUGUUCCCUGAAAGUGACUCUCUGUGGUUCUGGCUCUACUCUUUGAACUCUAAGCUCUAUUCCUAGAACGAUUUCCUUGUUUUCCAUAACAAAUGGCCCACAUUUUCAGCUGAGUCCUUUCCUCAGCCUGCUUUGGACCUUAGGAAGCUGAGUGCUGAAAGGCUUUUGGUUUUGAACUCUUUCCCUUGCAGCCUGCGCUGAUAUAAUUUGUUUACAAAUUGUGUGGUUUUCCUAUUUAUCAACUUAUAAUCUCUUAAGACAGGCUCUUCUCUACCUUGGGUUGAGAAUCAGGGUAUAUGGGACAUCACCCUUAACACUCUACAAAACCUUAUUUAUAGGAAAGAGUCUACAAGAGUGGCUCCCAACUGGAAGUGAUUUUGCUGUUGCCUGAAGAACAUGUGGCAAUGUCUGGAGACAUUUUUGUUUUUCACAAGCGGUGAGGAGCUGUCACAUAGUGAGUAGAGAGCUCAUAUGAUGCUAAACAUCCAAUACUGCACAGAAGAGCUCCCUACAAAAGGGAAUUAUCCAUCCCCAAAAGUCAAUAGAACCAAGGUCAAGAAACGCUGGUCUACAGAAAUUGCCCUAAAAUAUUUCUAAAUUCUCAAGUAAGCAUCUUAUAGUCACAUGCUUAUCUUCAUUUUUACCCUGAAACAUCUUGCUGUGCUCAAUUUGAUCUUUACCUUGUAGCCCCUCAUUACUUUGAGAGUCUUUUGCUGUCUUGAGAGGCUGAAAAUGAAGAAACAGCUUUAUUUUCAAAUCCAGUAAAUCCUAACAAUAGCACAUGACUACUCACUUCAUGAAACUCCUUCAAAUUUGUUGUUUAUUAUGUGAUAUUAUAAUAAUAAGCCAUCGUGAAAUAAAAGCCAACUUAAGAAGUGAACGUGGGAGUUCUUUCCCCUCCUGGAUGGAUGGUUAAGAUGCGUUCCUGGAGCUGCUGAUGCACAGAAUUUGACAAUGGAGCCAACACCAAAGAACCAAAGCUGAUGUGUGUAUCAUGUGACGAUGCUUGAGAAAUAAACUCAUUAUUGUGUACCACC
Molecule: long non-coding RNA, 7202 nt
Organism: Felis catus (domestic cat)
Lineage: Eukaryota; Metazoa; Chordata; Mammalia; Carnivora; Felidae
Exons: 3
Source: RefSeq, a predicted model, not a curated record